AGAGUUUGAUCCUGGCUCAGAUUGAACGCUGGCGGCAUGCCUUACACAUGCAAGUCGAACGGCAGCACGGGAGCAAUCCUGGUGGCGAGUGGCGAACGGGUGAGUAAUGUAUCGGAACGUACCUUUCAGUGGGGGAUAACGUAGCGAAAGUUACGCUAAUACCGCAUAUUCUGUGAGCAGGAAAGCAGGGGAUCGCAAGACCUUGCGCUGAUUGAGCGGCCGAUAUCAGAUUAGCUAGUUGGUGAGGUAGAGGCUCACCAAGGCGACGAUCUGUAGCGGGUCUGAGAGGAUGAUCCGCCACACUGGAACUGAGACACGGUCCAGACUCCUACGGGAGGCAGCAGUGGGGAAUUUUGGACAAUGGGGGCAAC
RNAcentral lists this ribosomal RNA (371 nucleotides) under uncultured bacterium. RNAcentral describes it as "bacterial SSU rRNA". It matches the Rfam family "Bacterial small subunit ribosomal RNA", at positions 8 to 381 of the family's 1533-position model. The record is from RNAcentral.